AAAGGGUAAAUUGAAAAGGGCAUUUCACCGGCCACUCAGCCGAAAGCACAAAAUGCUUGGCCGAAUCAAACAAUAUAACACAAGGCCUCUUCGAAUCCCACCGGCUGGGCCCUCUCUCCUUAUAUACCCAUCUCUCUCUCUCUCUCACCCUUCUCUCUAUCCUCUCUCUGUCUAGCUGUCCUCUCUCUCUCUCUGUGCAGACAGAGAGAGAGAAGGAAGAGAAGGAAAUUAGUACUACUACUGGUGGGGUUGGGGCAUAUAGCGCCAAAGUCAGAAAUGGCUCUAGGUGGACAAGCACUUCUUCUCUUUCCCAACCACCCAUUGUUUCUUAUACGCAAUGACCCAAUUGCUCUUGCAAAAGAAAGAUGCACGUUUCUGACAUUACCUUGUAAAUCCUCAAAGGUCAUUUUCGUGCUGUUUAAAGGUGAAAGGAGUCCAAUGUGAGUCUCUAGCUGUGUGUAGAGCUACAACAAUCCUUAAUAGUGAUGAGGCAGACAGGAUGGAGCCAGGCAAUUCUAGUUAUAAUUCCGUUCCUUCCAUUCGCUAGCUAGUUAUCGAAUAUUGAUGCCGCAUGUGAAGCAAUAACUUCAAAAACCUUUAUAUGAACAAAGCAUGCAUGCAUCACUUUAUCAAAUAUGAGGCCGGUCCGCCGAAAGAGCUGAGAUCCCCAGCUAGUUAAAGUUAUGCUUAUUUACUUCAAGUGGCGGCCAGGCUCUGGACAAGUUCAAUAGGUCAUCAUUACAGGCACAAUGGGUAUGAGGCUGGAUGUAUUUCUGAAAUGUCGUAUAUAGAUCGAGGAACAAUAUUUGGCCAGCCGCUAUAUAUGAAAGUUCUACAAACUACAAUCUUAUCACCUUGUAA
Long non-coding RNA from Carya illinoinensis, 861 nucleotides. RefSeq lists it as uncharacterized. Lineage: Eukaryota; Viridiplantae; Streptophyta; Magnoliopsida; Fagales; Juglandaceae. The transcript is spliced from 2 exons. The record is from RefSeq and is a predicted model, not a curated record.